RNAcentral lists this long non-coding RNA (425 nucleotides) under Monodelphis domestica (gray short-tailed opossum). Its description in RNAcentral is "lncRNA (ENSMODG00000049011.1)". The record is from RNAcentral. Lineage: Eukaryota; Metazoa; Chordata; Mammalia; Didelphimorphia; Didelphidae.
AUGGACCUUUGUGAUGUGAAACCAAGGCGUGUGGUUGCAAAUGGAAAGUGUGUCUCCACUGGUCGGGUUGAAGGGUACUCCACACCACACCCUCCACCACCCGCCCACACACACCCAGCCUCUCCAGCAGCUUCAGCGCUCUGUUGCCAGUGUACUAUGCUGCUUCCUUUUAUAUGGACUGAGUCAAGAUGGGAUCUUGUACGGAGGGAGCAGCAAUGUUACCUGGUGUGGAUGCAGAUGCUUUGAAAAGAAUCUUGUACAGUUUAGAGUUAAUUAGUAGACGUUCAAAGUUCUUUUACAAGGGUUCUUGAUCUUCUUUGUAUCAUGUUCCCUUCUGUCAAUAUGGUGGAAACUAUGUACUUCUCAGAAUAAUGUUUUGAAAUGCAUAAAAUAAAGUCCAUGGCAUUAUAAAGGAAACUAAAGGU